This 73-nucleotide transfer RNA is filed under the name Paramuricea clavata. It matches the Rfam family "tRNA". Rfam says of the family: Transfer RNA (tRNA) molecules are approximately 80 nucleotides in length. Their secondary structure includes four short double-helical elements and three loops (D, anti-codon, and T loops). Further hydrogen bonds mediate the characteristic L-shaped molecular structure. tRNAs have two regions of fundamental functional importance: the anti-codon, which is responsible for specific mRNA codon recognition, and the 3' end, to which the tRNAs corresponding amino acid is attached (by aminoacyl-tRNA synthetases). tRNAs cope with the degeneracy of the genetic code in two manners: having more than one tRNA (with a specific anti-codon) for a particular amino acid; and 'wobble' base-pairing, i.e. permitting non-standard base-pairing at the 3rd anti-codon position. Lineage: Eukaryota; Metazoa; Cnidaria; Anthozoa; Malacalcyonacea; Plexauridae. The record is from Rfam by way of RNAcentral.
GACCGCGUAGCCCAGUUGGCAGAGCGUUGGGCUAGUAUUCCAAAGGUCGUAGGUUCGAUUCCCACCGUGGCCA